RNAcentral lists this ribosomal RNA (264 nucleotides) under uncultured archaeon. Its description in RNAcentral is "partial 16S ribosomal RNA". It matches the Rfam family "Archaeal small subunit ribosomal RNA", at positions 717 to 982 of the family's 1478-position model. The record is from RNAcentral.
AGACGUCUACAUUAGAUACCCGCGUAGUCCCAGCCGUAAACUAUGCGCGUUAGGUGUAUCGGUGACCACGAGUCACCGAGGUGCCGAAGGGAAACCGUGAAACGUGCCGCCUGGGAAGUACGGUCGCAAGGCUGAAACUUAAAGGAAUUGGCGGGGAGCACAACAACGGGUGGAGCCUGCGGUUUAAUUGGACUCAACGCCGGGAAGCUCACCGGAUAGGACAGCAGAAUGAUUGCCGGGCUGAAGACCCUGCAUGACUAGCUG